This 301-nucleotide ribosomal RNA is filed under the name uncultured bacterium. RNAcentral describes it as "partial 16S ribosomal RNA". It matches the Rfam family "Bacterial small subunit ribosomal RNA", at positions 509 to 807 of the family's 1533-position model. The record is from RNAcentral.
CAGCAGCCGCGGGAAUACGGAGGGUGCAAGCGUUGUUCGGAAUUACUGGGCGUAAAGCGCGCGUAGGCGGUGAGUAAAGUCAGAGGUGAAAUCCCCGGGCUCAACCUGGGAACUGCAUUUGAUACUAGGUCGCUAGAGUGUGGCAGAGGAUAGUGGAAUUCCAGGUGUAGAGGUGAAAUGCGUAGAUAUUGGGAAGAACAUCAGUGGCGAAGGCGGCCAUCUGGGACAGCACUGACGCUGAGGCGCGAAAGCGUGGGGAGCAAACAGGAUUAGAUACCCCCGUAGUCCCUGUCUCUUAUAC